AUGGACCAAUCCAUCCCUUUUUCCCGUGCAUAUGCAUCGGACUCGGAUGAUGAUGGUCCCGAUGAAGAAGUUGAUGAGGAGGGGUUCACGCCGAAGGAGGCCGAAGCAUUCAAGAAGGUAUUCGAGCGGGAUCACAAGACACCAUUGUUCAAGGAUCUUAGUCUCGCGGAUGAAGCCGUUGUGGAUGGUGGCAAAUGCAUAUCUCUUGGAGCUAGGCCAAGUUCUCACCGUGAUUUGGAAGACGGCAAGAACGGGAUAUAUCCCGGUUGUGAGUUUCAAUCCUUCUUGGAAUUGAAGAUGUGGCUCAACAACUACUCGGUUACACAUUAUCGUCCACAUAAAGUGGACAACUCGGACGUGAAUGUGCGUCACACGGUCAAAUGUGAAGUGCCAACAUGUCCAUGGAUUGUGCGUGCAAGGCCAUGGAAAGGAGGUCCCACUUGGCGCAUAGUGAGUUGUCUACCAACUCACAUGUGCCGGCACAAGAGGGCGGAUGGCAAGCUUGUGUACCAACAACACAGACAACUCACAUCCGAGUUCAUCGCUUACAGGCUUUCCAACCAAAUAUCCACACUUCCAACAAUGAGCAUCAAGAGUGUCAUUGACCUUGUGAAAGCCAUCUUUCAUUACAAGGUGAAGUACGGCAAGGCAUGGAAGGCGAAGUAG
RNAcentral lists this ribosomal RNA (666 nucleotides) under Triticum aestivum (bread wheat). RNAcentral describes it as "partial small subunit ribosomal RNA". Lineage: Eukaryota; Viridiplantae; Streptophyta; Magnoliopsida; Poales; Poaceae. The record is from RNAcentral.